GAGUGUCAGAAAGUAAGGAACGGCUAAAAGGAAAAUCCGCAAUGAUGGGAGUAGGCCAAAGGGAUACAGGAGCCAAAUGAAAGAGCUCCCAAUGACCAGAGCUGCAACAAUUUGAGCAAGAAGAUAAAUAGAGUAGUAUUGGAUUGUAACCUGAAGUAUAAAAAAAAUUCAUGAGUCCAUAAUGAUGUAAACACAUGAUUGAAUAAAUAUGCAGGGGAGAAAAGGCAAAUCCUGCAUGCAGAAGAAUUCCUAAUAAUUUAUGUAGAUCUUCCAUCCUCAAGAAGGUCCAGGUGGCCGCAGACUCUGCAUCUCUCACCAGCUCCCGGGUGAUGCUGAUGUUGCUGCUCCUGAGACACCAUGAUGAGCAGCGAGGAUCUCGGCGGUGGACCUGGCCCUGACCAAAAUGACUUGGUGUCCUUGGGAGCGAUGGGUUUGCCUCUCAACAUGACACACCUGGUCUACCCUGGCCUGGUCUGGCUGCGGAGCGGCACGCCCCGGCCGUGGAAGCUCAGACAGCAGCUGCACAAGCCUGCUUCCUCCACCAGUUUCUCAGGAGGGGACCCUGCCUCCCAACUGCUUAAGCUGCUCCCGGUCAGAGCGAAUGGAUCAUGAUUUAAUGAAGAGAGCCAUCUGUUACAGGGUAAAAAUCCUAAUUAAGCAAUAUAUGAAUCAGAACAGAAUUAGCCAUCAAGUCGUCAGAGUUCUGUAACCGCGGAGAGGAACACGGCGUCGUUGCCACAUGGAAUAGUCUUCCUCUAAGGAAACGCAAGACUGCAAAGGGAACCCCACUCCGUCCCCUGGGAGGAUGCAGCCCCGACAGCAGGGGUCAGAUUCUGGGGCAUUAACUGAAAUGGACAACGGCUUCCUGAGGAACCCUGGUGUCCUGAGUAAUGAACACCCCUGCUGUUUGUCCGGCAUGUCAGUUUGCCAAAUGCUUUCCCACCCAGGAGUACCUUGAACCCUCUGCCACUCACCCCCGUGGAUGGGGCUGAUGAUCACGGCCAUAGGGUCAGUGAAUCACUCAAGAGCCCACAGCCAGAAAGGAGACAAGUCAAGCCCAGAAUGCAGGCCAUUGGCCUCCACAUCCUGCC
This 1091-nucleotide long non-coding RNA is filed under the name Equus caballus (horse). Its description in RNAcentral is "lncRNA (ENSECAG00000052187.1)". Lineage: Eukaryota; Metazoa; Chordata; Mammalia; Perissodactyla; Equidae. The record is from RNAcentral.